Molecule: long non-coding RNA, 490 nt
Filed under: Durio zibethinus
Lineage: Eukaryota; Viridiplantae; Streptophyta; Magnoliopsida; Malvales; Malvaceae
Description: long non-coding RNA (DZIB_LNC001666)
Source: RNAcentral
CAGUCAACACCACCAUGACCACCUUUCCUGCCUUAAAACUGCAACCUCUAUUAUCAAAUGAUGACCUUUCCAACAAAAGCUCCAUGGCCAUCUUCACCAUCGAGACCAUCUUUUCCACACCACAACUGAGACCACUAUUUUCACAACACCCAAAAUCCAUGCUGUUCACAAACCCCCUUGUUUACCAAAACAGCCUCAUUUCUUUUUUUUUUUUUACACCCAUUACAACCAAACCCUCAACAAAUUGCAAACCUUUCUCAUCCUUCCCAUUGCCCACCAAGAAUAACCCUUAAACUUUCAGCAACAAACCACCCCAACCGAAUCAUUCCAUCAUCAACUAGCUACCUAAGCUCCACCAAAAAAACUAUCACUAAAUAGCCUUAGCCUUGUCGCCAUCAUCCCAGCUUUCAACCCAACAUUAGCCUAGCUUAAAACCCACCCAAACUUUCAGUCAAGUAAUUCAAAACCCAAAAAAAAAUUACAAAAAGCG